CCCUCUCUUCUCCUCACCCUCUCUCUCCCUCUCUUCUCUCUCCCUUUUCCGGCAGCUGCCCCCCUCCUUCUCUCCUCCUCUCCCUCUCGUUUUGCUUUUCUCCCCCUUUUCCUCUUCUUCCCCUCUUUCUCUCUGCCGUCCUUCUCCCCUUUCCCGUCGUUCCCCUUUCUCCCUCUUUCUCCCCAUCGCCUUCUCUCCCCUCCCGUCUCUUCUCUUCCCCUUCCUCUGCUCCUUUCUCUUCUUCUUUUGCAAGCAGUAGGUUCCGGCGAGCAGGAACAGCUCAACCCAGUAGCAACUCUAACCGGUGCCCCUCUCCUCUCCUCUUUCCUCCAGCGAGACACCUGCAACAACAACUCCAGGCAGCAGGCGAAGCAGUAGCAGCGGCCAAGGAAGAAAACAACAAGAACUCCGGCGAGAACCAGCGAGGCGCAUUCUGGUCAGCAGUGGGCAACACCGGGAAAAAUGAUGCGGCUCUACAGACACCACCCACCUACCUCCUCCUCUCUUCCCUCCGGCCAGCGGUAGCAGGAAAUUCCGGUAAAAUUUUCAAAGCUUAGAAGAAGAUUCGGGUUUUGAACUUAGAUUUCAAUAUGUUGAAGAUUUGCCUAGAAGAAAUUGUGGACGAAGCCUCGUUCAUUUUAUUGUUAUAUAUAUGAUUAUUCGCUUUUUAUUUUUACUUGUAAUGUUUGUAUAACUCUCUCACUCUAACUCUCAAUAUUUAAAAAAUAUAUAUAAACAAAAUAUUUGGGGAAUCACCUAAGGGGAUGAGAUUUA
Molecule: long non-coding RNA, 774 nt
Organism: Solanum pennellii
Lineage: Eukaryota; Viridiplantae; Streptophyta; Magnoliopsida; Solanales; Solanaceae
Exons: 2
Source: RefSeq, a predicted model, not a curated record